CAGUAGCCGCGGUAAUACAGAGGUCCCGAGCGUUGUUCGGAUUCACUGGGCGUAAAGGGUGUGUAGGAGGUUGGAUAAGUCAGGUGUGAAAUCCCGCAGCUCAACUGCGGAACUGCAUUCGAUACUGUUCAACUAGAGGAUCGGAGGGGGAAGCGGAAUUCUUGGUGUAGCGGUGAAAUGCGUAGAUAUCAAGAGGAACACCGGUGGCGAAGGCGGCUUCCUGGAAGAUACCUGACUCUGAAACACGAAAGCCAGGGGAGCGAAUGGGAUUAGAUACCCCCGUAGUCCCUGUCUCUUAUAC
RNAcentral lists this ribosomal RNA (301 nucleotides) under uncultured bacterium. RNAcentral's name for it is "partial 16S ribosomal RNA". It matches the Rfam family "Bacterial small subunit ribosomal RNA", at positions 509 to 807 of the family's 1533-position model. The record is from RNAcentral.